UAGGGAAUCUUCCGCAAUGGACGCAAGUCUGACGGAGCAACGCCGCGUGAGUGAAGAAGGAUUUCGGUUCGUAAAACUCUGUUGUUAGAGAAGAACAGCGCAUAGAGUAACUGUUAUGCGUGUGACGGUAUCUAACCAGAAAGCCACGGCUAACUACGUGCCAGCAGCCGCGGUAAUACGUAGGUGGCAAGCGUUGUCCGGAUUUAUUGGGCGUAAAGCGAGCGCAGGCGGUCAAUUAAGUCUGAUGUGAAAGCCCCCGGCUCAACCGGGGAGGGUCAUUGGAAACUGGUUGACUUGAGUGCAGAAGAGUGGAGUGGAAUUCCAUGUGUAGCGGUGAAAUGCGUAGAUAUAUGGAGGAACACCAGUGGCGAAGGCGACUCUCUGGUCUGUAACUGACGCUGAGGUUCGAAAGCGUGGGUAGCAAACAGG
This 429-nucleotide ribosomal RNA is filed under the name Bacteroidota bacterium. Its description in RNAcentral is "Bacteroidetes bacterium partial 16S ribosomal RNA". It matches the Rfam family "Bacterial small subunit ribosomal RNA", at positions 355 to 776 of the family's 1533-position model. The record is from RNAcentral. Lineage: Bacteria; Pseudomonadati; Bacteroidota.